RNAcentral lists this ribosomal RNA (504 nucleotides) under uncultured bacterium. RNAcentral describes it as "partial 16S ribosomal RNA". It matches the Rfam family "Bacterial small subunit ribosomal RNA", at positions 28 to 523 of the family's 1533-position model. The record is from RNAcentral.
GAUAAACGCUAGCGGCAGGCUUAACACAUGCAAGUCGAGGGGCAGCAUAGAUUGUAGCAAUACAAUUGGUGGCGACCGGCGCACGGGUGCGUAACGCGUAUGCAACCUACCCGUCACAGGGGGAUAAUCCGGAGAAAUCUGGUCUAAUACCCCAUAACAUAUGGAUCGGCAUCGGUUCAUGUUGAAAUUUUCGGAGGUGACGGAUGGGCAUGCGUAGCAUUAGCUUGUUGGUGAGGUAACGGCUCACCAAGGCGACGAUGCUUAGGGGGACUGAGAGGUUUUCCCCCCACACUGGUACUGAGACACGGACCAGACUCCUACGGGAGGCAGCAGUGAGGAAUAUUGGUCAAUGGGCGCAAACCUGAACCGGCCAUGCCGCGUGCAGGAUGACGGCUCUAUGAGUUGUAAACUGCUUUUGUACGAGGGUAAAGUGGGUUACGUGUAACCUUUUGAAAGUAUCGUACGAAUAAGGAUCGGCUAACUCCGUGCCAGCAGCCGCGGUAA